RNAcentral lists this transfer RNA (83 nucleotides) under Candidatus Tayloriibacteriota bacterium. Its description in RNAcentral is "tRNA-Leu". It matches the Rfam family "tRNA". Rfam says of the family: Transfer RNA (tRNA) molecules are approximately 80 nucleotides in length. Their secondary structure includes four short double-helical elements and three loops (D, anti-codon, and T loops). The record is from RNAcentral. Lineage: Bacteria; Candidatus Tayloriibacteriota.
GCCGAGAUGGUGGAAUGGCAGACACUCACGACUCAAAAUCGUGCGGGGGUAACCCCAUGAGGGUUCAAGUCCCUCUCUCGGCA